This 450-nucleotide ribosomal RNA is filed under the name uncultured bacterium. RNAcentral's name for it is "partial 16S ribosomal RNA". It matches the Rfam family "Bacterial small subunit ribosomal RNA", at positions 354 to 796 of the family's 1533-position model. The record is from RNAcentral.
GUGGGGAAUUUUGGACAAUGGGCGCAAGCCUGAUCCAGCCAUGCCGCGUGAGUGAAGAAGGCCUUCGGGUUGUAAAGCUCUUUCGGCGGGGAAGAAAUGGCAACGGCUAAUAUCCGUUGUUGAUGACGGUACCCGCAUAAGAAGCACCGGCUAACUACGUGCCAGCAGCCGCGGUAAUACGUAGGGUGCGAGCGUUAAUCGGAAUUACUGGGCGUAAAGCGUGCGCAGGCGGUUGUGUAAGUCAGAUGUGAAAUCCCCGGGCUCAACCUGGGAACUGCGUUUGAGACUGCACGGCUAGAGUGUGACAGAGGGGGGUAGAAUUCCACGUGUAGCAGUGAAAUGCGUAGAGAUGUGGAGGAAUACCGAUGGCGAAGGCAGCCCCCUGGGUUACUACUGACGCUCAUGCACGAAAGCGUGGGGAGCAAACAGGAUUAGAAACCCCUGUAGUCC